This 253-nucleotide ribosomal RNA is filed under the name uncultured bacterium. RNAcentral's name for it is "partial 16S ribosomal RNA". It matches the Rfam family "Bacterial small subunit ribosomal RNA", at positions 524 to 776 of the family's 1533-position model. The record is from RNAcentral.
UACGAAGGGGGCUAGCGUUGUUCGGAAUUACUGGGCGUAAAGCGCGCGCAGGCGGUUUUUCAAGUCAGUGGUGAAAGCCCGGAGCUCAACUCCGGAACUGCCAUUGAAACUGUAAAACUUGAGGAUGAGAGAGGUGAGUGGAAUUCCCAGUGUAGAGGUGAAAUUCGUAGAUAUUGGGAAGAACACCGGUGGCGAAGGCGGCUCACUGGCUCAUAUCUGACGCUCAGGCGCGACAGCGUGGGGAUCAAACAGG